CAGCCGCCGCGGGAAUACAGAGGGUGCGAGCGUUAAUCGGAUUUACUGGGCGUAAAGCGUGCGUAGGAGGCUUCUUAAGUCGGAUGUGAAAUCCCUGAGCUUAACUUAGGAAUUGCAUUCGAUACUGGGAAGCUAGAGUAUGGGAGAGGAUGGUAGAAUUCCAGGUGUAGCGGUGAAAUGCGUAGAGAUCUGGAGGAAUACCGAUGGCGAAGGCAGCCAUCUGGCCUAAUACUGACGCUGAGGUACGAAAGCAUGGGGAGCAAACAGGAUUAGAUACCCCUGUAGUCCCUGUCUCUUAUAC
This 301-nucleotide ribosomal RNA is filed under the name uncultured bacterium. RNAcentral describes it as "partial 16S ribosomal RNA". It matches the Rfam family "Bacterial small subunit ribosomal RNA", at positions 509 to 807 of the family's 1533-position model. The record is from RNAcentral.